UACGUAGGGGGCAAGCGUUGUCCGGAUUUAUUGGGCGUAGAGAGCGUGUAGGCGGCCAGAUAGGUCUGCUGUGAAGACUCGAGGCUCAACCUCGACAUGUCGGCAGAAACCAUUUGGCUAGAGUCCGGAAGAGGAGAGUGGAAUUCCUGGUGUAGCGGUGAAAUGCGCAGAUAUCAGGAGGAACACCGGUGGCGAAGGCGGAUCUCUGGGCCUUACCUGACGCUCAGGCACGAAAGCUAGGGGAGCGAACAGG
Molecule: ribosomal RNA, 253 nt
Filed under: uncultured bacterium
Lineage: Bacteria
Description: partial 16S ribosomal RNA
Rfam family: Bacterial small subunit ribosomal RNA
Source: RNAcentral